Molecule: ribosomal RNA, 253 nt
Filed under: uncultured bacterium
Lineage: Bacteria
Description: partial 16S ribosomal RNA
Rfam family: Bacterial small subunit ribosomal RNA
Source: RNAcentral
UACGUAGGGGCAAGCGUUGUCCGGAAUUAUUGGGCGUAAAGCGCGCGCAGGCGGUCAUUUAAGUUUGGUGUUUAAUCCCGGAGCUCAACUCCGGGUCGCACUGAAAACUGGGUGACUUGAGUACAGAAGAGGAGAGUGGAAUUCCACGUGUAGCGGUGAAAUGCGUAGAUAUGUGGAGGAACACCAGUGGCGAAGGCGACUCUCUGGGCUGUAACUGACGCUGAGGCGACGAAAGCGUGGGGGAGCAAACAGG